AGAAUCAACGCUGGCGGCGUGCCUAACACAUGCAAGUCGAACGCGAAAGUCCCGCAAGGGAUUAGUAGAGUGGCAAACGGGUGAGUAACACGUGGGUGACCUGCCCUCGAGCGGGGGAUAACGUCCCGAAAGGGACGCUAAUACCGCAUGACAUCCUGCCUUUGAACAGGCGGAGAUCAAAGCUGGGGAUCGCAAGACCUAGCACUCGAAGAGGGGCCCGCGCCUGAUUAGCUAGUUGGUGAGGUAACGGCUCACCAAGGCUACGAUCAGUA
RNAcentral lists this ribosomal RNA (272 nucleotides) under uncultured bacterium. RNAcentral's name for it is "partial small subunit ribosomal RNA". It matches the Rfam family "Bacterial small subunit ribosomal RNA", at positions 26 to 285 of the family's 1533-position model. The record is from RNAcentral.